Molecule: unclassified non-coding RNA, 399 nt
Filed under: Hevea brasiliensis (rubber tree)
Lineage: Eukaryota; Viridiplantae; Streptophyta; Magnoliopsida; Malpighiales; Euphorbiaceae
Source: RNAcentral
GGGGUCAUUUAAGUUCUUCCUGGACGAAAACCUUAUGUCAUCUCCUGUUUUGCUUGUGACUUUGUUCCAUGUAUGGUAGCUUGAUGCUCCAAUGGCACGGCAAAAGCUCCGCGUCAUUCUAUGUGCCAGUUUCAGAAUGCUUUUCCUCCCAGCCAGGGUUGUAACACCAGUAGAAUCCUUUGUUGGAACAUUGGUUGCCAUGUAGAAAACAAUCCGUUCACACUGGAGCUGCAACGUUGCUGUCCAAUGCCUUGCACCAAAAGCUAGACCACUAUUCACAAUGGUUCUGUACAUAGAAUGAACUGGGCUUUUCUGGCAUUCCAAGUGCUCUACCCAUGUCACCUUGCAAUGACCAUUUGAUUUGUCCUCAAUUAUGCAGCCAGAGGGGCGUUUUCUGCA